UGGGGAAUAUUGCACAAUGGGCGCAAGCCUGAUGCAGCCAUGCCGCGUGUAUGAAGAAGGCCUUCGGGUUGUAAAGUACUUUCAGCGGGGAGGAAGGCGGUGAGGUUAAUAACCUYGCCGAUUGACGUUACCCGCAGAAGAAGCACCGGCUAACUCCGUG
Molecule: ribosomal RNA, 160 nt
Filed under: uncultured Pantoea sp.
Lineage: Bacteria; Pseudomonadati; Pseudomonadota; Gammaproteobacteria; Enterobacterales; Erwiniaceae
Description: partial 16S ribosomal RNA
Rfam family: Bacterial small subunit ribosomal RNA
Source: RNAcentral